CACGUAGGGCGCGAGCGUUGUCCGGAAUUAUUGGGCGUAAAGAGCUCGUAGGCGGCCUGUUGCGUCCGCUGUGAAAGCCCGGGGCUUAACCCCCGGGUCUGCAGUGGAUACGGGCAGGCUAGAGGUAGGUAGGGGAGAAUGGAAUUCCCGGUGUAGCGGUGAAAUGCGCAGAUAUCGGGAGGAACACCGGUGGCGAAGGCGGUUCUCUGGGCCUUACCUGACGCUGAGGAGCGAAAGCGUGGGGAGCGAACAGG
RNAcentral lists this ribosomal RNA (254 nucleotides) under uncultured bacterium. Its description in RNAcentral is "partial 16S ribosomal RNA". It matches the Rfam family "Bacterial small subunit ribosomal RNA", at positions 524 to 776 of the family's 1533-position model. The record is from RNAcentral.